CAGAUUUUGGUCAAAUGACAUUUGCCCAUUACAGGACUCGGCCAGACAUGAAGAUCUUUGUCUUCACCUUCAUCAUGGCUUUCAUGGUCGCCAUGAUUAGUGCUGAUUCAUCAUCAGAAGAG
Long non-coding RNA from Talpa occidentalis (Iberian mole), 122 nucleotides. RefSeq lists it as uncharacterized. The transcript is spliced from 3 exons. The record is from RefSeq and is a predicted model, not a curated record. Lineage: Eukaryota; Metazoa; Chordata; Mammalia; Eulipotyphla; Talpidae.